RNAcentral lists this long non-coding RNA (393 nucleotides) under Dasypus novemcinctus (nine-banded armadillo). RNAcentral describes it as "lncRNA (ENSDNOG00000052975.1)". The record is from RNAcentral. Lineage: Eukaryota; Metazoa; Chordata; Mammalia; Cingulata; Dasypodidae.
GCGCCUUUAACAAGGAGCUUUCCCAGCAAGGGCUGCCGGUAGGUUUUUUUUUUUUCUGCACAGACCUGUCCUUUGAAGGAGGUUCUCGACUUUCCUUCAUGGAAACUGACAAAGUGAAGGCUGGUCUCCGAGUCCCCAGGAAGCCGCCGACUUCAUCUCAGAGGGGGCAGUCACCCACCGGCCAGCGGCUGGGGUCAGCUGGCGCAAGGACGGGGCACCGAGAAACACAGAUUCUUCGAAUUCCACCGCUCCCCGGGGCGAUUUCAUAUCCCAAACCAUAGCUGCUCACUUCGACAGAAACGUGUCCCCGCGGGCGUCCAGCGGCAGAGCUCAGCGCUCGGCGCCCGCCCCUCGCCGCGCCUGGCCGCUUCCCCUUCCCCGCCCUGGCCCUCC